This 5182-nucleotide long non-coding RNA is filed under the name Sus scrofa (pig). RNAcentral describes it as "lncRNA (ENSSSCG00025025951.1)". Lineage: Eukaryota; Metazoa; Chordata; Mammalia; Artiodactyla; Suidae. The record is from RNAcentral.
GCCUCUUAGGAGCCACAGCAUCGCAUCUGCAGGAUCCGGCCACGGCUCGCUGGAGGAUAAAGCAGUGACGGCUCCGGGACCCCAGGAAGCAGACACCACAUGCCCUGUCUGCUGCGAUCUCUGCUUUCUCAGAUCUGCCGCUCACACUUUUCUGGCCUCUUCCUCUGGCCACCACAGCCAGCAUGCCUCUCCACAACAGCAAAUGCCUCCUGCCCUCCAUGCUCUGUGCUCCAGCCAUCCUGUGGCCAAAACCUUGCAGAGCCAGAGCCCGAGCGGCCUGAGCCAGGGCUGAGGAUGCCCCUGUGAGCAAAGCGGUGCCCUCACUGUCACCUUCGGGAUGUGACGUGGCUCCCUAGGGCUUCCCGGACGCCUGCAUCAGCAGCACAUGGGUGUCGUCUGCUCACGGGGAAGAACGUGAACACCUGGCUGUGCCUGACUCCCAUCAGCCACAACGUUUGGUCUUCGGGAGGCUGCAAACCCAUGUGCCAGGUGACAGUCAAUCUCCUGAGGUGGACAGCCAUGAGGGACAGGUGCCACCUGGGCCUGCCCAGACCCGGGGUCUCAGUCAGAGAGAGGAGAACGGAGGGUCUGUCUGCUGGAGCCGGAUACCGCCGUAAUAUCAGGUGCCUUGAGAGGCAGGCACAAAGCCUAGCUUCCGACCCGGGCAUGUGAGUGUGUGCUUUCAGGACGAGCGCAGCCCACACAACAGACCCUUUCUUUGCAAAGGAGACACAAAAUGAAGUGAAACAAUUCGAUGGCUGCUAAGAGGGUUUCUCAUCCUGGAUGCCACCUGAGUGUGUUCCACCUGGCCCACGACAGGCGCACCCUUCGUGGGGGAAACGGAACAGGGGCGCCAGUGCCUUCCCAGCUUUAGAUUCUUGCAUAGUUCAUCGCAGUACUGACUCAAGCUUAACGCUUUCAUUUGGGGCUUGCGGCUUUCAUCAUUACUCACCCCUAAUGGCUCAGCAGUCUCUCUCAGCUGAGCUCCUGAUGUGCCUCAUUUACCCUUGAGCCUCGAGCCAGAGGGAGCUGUCUGUCUGUAAGGGCUUGUGUGAUUCAAUUAGGCCACCCUGCUCUUAUCCCUUAAAAGCGCACUGAUGAGUAACUUUAAUUACAUCUGCAGAAUCCCUCUGCUCUAUAAAAUGACACACGGACUGGAGUAGAACCAGGGCAGCUGCCGUGGGAGGUAAACUUCUGCCUGUCACCAGCUGUCACUGGGGCAGCUCUGCACUGGCUGCCCAGCCUUCAGGCUCUUCUCUUGUGUCCCAGGUCUCAGACCCGAGGAUACACCUGCUCUCAGCACAAUCAUGACAAAUGGAACAAACAAGGAAAGAUUCUGAGCAGUGUCGGAUUUAUGGGUUUGGCCAGCAGCCUUUCUGCAGGGCCACGUGGCCGGGUAAGCAGCUUGUCCAGCAGCACCCCAAGAGAGCGCGGUCCCCUCCGAACACCAAAAAGACUCACGGUGCCACUCAUCUGCCAGACUGAGUGGUUCGUGCCUGAAACGCUCAGCAGGACAAGAUAAUUUCUGGAUCAUACAUGUGUCCAGUUUUGCUUGUCUGUACAGAUGGACUUUCCAUCUUACCUGUCCUGGACCUUGGUCCUGUUCAGCUUGUACAGACCGACCUCAAGUCGAAUCGGAGGUGCCAGUCUGCAAAGGUCCUUUAGGAUCAUUUACACCCAAACCAUGUGCGGGUGACCAGGCCAACGGGCAUCUUCCUACUCAAGUGAGAGUCCUUCUCUAGAGGCGGGGGCAGCAGGAAGGAAAAUUCACGGGUCAAAUUCAGUGCAUUAUACCAAUAUGUACUGCCGAAUGGCUCCUCAAAAAAUAGCACUAUUUUAUCCUCAAAUUAGCAUAUUUGUGGAUUUAUCGCCCCGUGGUCCGACCACCCCGGAUAUUCUGACACAUUCAUACAAUGUUCUUCUCAAUGGUUGCCCAUCAGACAGGUAACAAGAACCUCACGUCGCCUUAGUUUCCUUUUCCAGAGUGGUAAUUAUUUCCCCACUGUCCCGUUGGGCAAACAGAAACCAGUUCAGUUAGUCUGAGACCAGUGCCUGUCGGGAUUGGAGAGAGGCGGCUGGAGGCCUGGGAACACACCGCGUCGCCCGAGACGAGAGAGGCCACGUGCAGGGAGCUGGCGCCGUCUGCCAGGCUGCAUGUGCCAAGGACAAGACUCGGGGCCUGCAGAGCCCACGCCCUUGGGAAAGGGCCAUCAGCUGGCCAUGCGGAUACCUCCGGGGCUGGGCAGGCAGAGGGCUACUCAGAGCUGGGACUCCGACCUUGCAGAAAGUCCUGCCCGGAGGACAGGUGGAACCGCAAGGUUCUAGAGGAAGACGUAGGGGUGCCUCUUCUUGACGUUAUAGCAUUUAUGAACUUGGCGUCAGAAAAGCUUUCUCGAAUGGAACUCCAAAGAAGCAAUAACCGUCAAGUCAAAGAUUGUUCAAUUGGACUUGGUUAAGAUUAAAGUAAAAAACAACAGCCACAGAUUGGAAGCAUGUAUUUGCGAUACAUUUAUCCCGUAAAUGAUUCAUGCCCAGAACAUCUAAAGAACUGUUGCAAAUGAAUUUUUUAAAAAAGAGCCCCAUUAAAACAAUCAAAAGUAGGAACAGGCCCUUCAAAAAAGAAGCUAUUCAAACGUCUAAGCAGGCUUGGAAAGCCAAUUAUACACCAUUACUGUUGAGGAAAUGCAAAUUAAAAUGAGUAUGUCAUACAUAGCACACACAUCAGAAUGGCUAAAAUUAAAAAGACUAAAUACAAAUUUUAAGACUGGCAAGACAAGCGUUGCUGAUGGGAGUGUACACUGGUAAAACAACAACUUGGGGAAACUGCUUGGCGAUAUCUAGACAGCUGAACACACAGGCACAGCCCUGGUGACACAGCCUGAGGGGGACUAUUGCUUAUGGUCACGGAAAGACAUGCAAGGAGGCAAAAGCUAGAAAAAUCAGACAAUUAGAAAUUUUACAUCCCAAGGCAAACAGAUCCAUAUAUUUUGGUACACUCAAACCAUAGCACUAUAGCACAUGGCAGUGGUGAAAUGGACCAUUGUUACAUGAAAUAAUAUGAAUUUCACACAUAAUUUUGAGUGGAAAAACUGGGUAUUAAAAAGUACGUAAUGUGGAGUUCCCACUGUGGCUCAGUGGGUUACGAACCCGACUAGCAUCCGUGAGGUCUCGGUUUCAAUCCCUGGCCUUGCUCAGUGGGUGAAGGACCCUGCAUUGCCGUGAGCUGUGGUGCAGUGGGUUAAGGAUCCGGAGCUGUGUCACAGCCUAUGGCAGAGGUUGCAACUCCGGCCUCGGAUUCGAUCCCUGGCCGGGGAACUCCAUGUGUCCUGGGGCAGCCAAAAAAGAAAAAAAAAAAAAAAAAGUCUACAAACAAUAAAUACUGCAGAGGGCGUGGAGAAAAGGGAACUCUCCUACACUGCUGAUGGGAACGUAAAUUGGUGCAGCCACUAGGGGGCACAGUAUGGAGGCUCCUCAAAAAGCUAAACAUAGAACCACGGGAUGAUCCUGCAAUCCCACUCCUGGGCAGAUAUCGGGAGGAAACCAUAAUUUGAAAAGAUACACACACCCCAAUGUUCACAGCAGCACUGUUUACAAGAGCCAAGACAUGGAAGCCACCCAAGUGUCCAUCCACAGAUGAAAGGGUGAAGAAGUUGUGUAUAUACACAAAGGAAUAUGACUCACCCAUAAAGAGAAUGAAAUAACACCACUUGCAGCAACAUGGACAGACUAGAUAUUAUUAUUAUAUACCAAGUGAAGUCAGAGAAAGACAAGUAUCAUAUGAAAUCGCGUGUGAAGACUAAUUUCUUAGCUGAAACAAAUGAAAAUAAAUAAAUAAACAGCAAAGAAUAAGUUUAAAGUUGAUAAUCUCAGUAAGAUAUUCAUUCUGGAUGGUUGUUUCUUCAAUCCAAUAUAACCUCGUUGGACCCUCCAUAAUAUUAAUUUUGGGUGGAUUUCUGUUGAUUUUCCACCCUUCUUUGAAGAAGAGCUGUGUCCUCUGGUAUCUAAUGAGGUACCGGAUCUGAGCGAGCUCAGCAAGUCUGAGUGCUGUGCAAACCGAAGACGCGGCAGGUGCAUUAGGGGUGGACCUGCGCGGGUCGCAGUGUUGAGUUGAUCAACCAAAUGCCUAAGAACCAAAGACGCAGGAAAGCCUCGCCUUUUCUGUCCACAGGCCAAGCAACAGUCUAGGGACUGAUGAUCUACUGCCCUCUGCUGGUUCUGGUUGGAAUCCCUCCUCAAGAUCGAGUCCAGGAAAAAGGCCUCAGAAUAGGGUUUUUAGGGGUGUUUCCCCUUAAACACAAAACAAGCAAAAAAUAAAAUAAAAACAUGACGGUCCUGAUGUGUCGCCUUGAGCGAAUAUCCAGGAAGCAGGAAGCAUUCUGAUCCCACAUAAAAUUCCGGGUCGACGCUGCUUUGCCCUUCAUGUCAUCGCAAGUCACCCAAACAGGAGCAUGCCAGCCUGAGCCCAGGCGCCCGACCCCCAGUGGGCUCAUGACGGCUCCUCUCCCGGGAGUGGGGUCCAGCAGCGGCCCCGUCUGCAGAGGCCCAGUCGAGCAACUGUUCAAAGGCAGGAAAACUGCUGCCUCUCACCCUCUGUCCCGCUGGCUUGCGUUUCUCUCUGUAGCUGUAGCUGCGUGUCCCCGGCUCCACGUGCAAUGCACGUUUGCACAUCCACGGCCUGUUUUACGGUCUGUCGUGUGUCGGCCUCCCUUGUUGGUCUGUCUCCACUCUCCUGCCUGCUUUUCUCUGCGUUGUUCCUCUGUCUUUCUACAUGUGUCUUCGUUCAUGUGUCUAUUAAAGGGUCCAUCUUUCUGACCUGAUCUUUGUCCGUCUAUCAGGCUCUGUGUCUUCUGGUCUUUCUGUCAUUUUAUCUGUCUCGGUCUAUCUACAUAACUUCUCUUCUCUCGGGAUGUCUGUCUGUGUGUAUCAACACACACAGACAUCAUCUGUCAGUCUUUUUGUCUGUCUUUUAUCUGCAGGCUGUAUUUGUCUUUCCAGCUGUCUGUUUAUAUGUCACUUGGCUUAACAUUUGCGAGGAAAUGUGUGAUGUGUUGACUGAUGGCGUGAGUGCGUGCACCAGGGCAUGUGUGCAGUGCUGUGUUCAGGGGAGUGAGUGUGUGAGAUGCUGCGUGUAAGCACCUCACCCGGGGCGGGGGUGCCCUGUAUGACGGCACCUUAAAGACAC